Molecule: non-coding RNA, 73 nt
Organism: Stegodyphus mimosarum
Lineage: Eukaryota; Metazoa; Arthropoda; Arachnida; Araneae; Eresidae
Source: Rfam
GCCUUCGUGGUGUAAUGGUCAGCACACUGAGCCGGUAUUUCAGCGAUCCGUGGUUCGAUUCCCGGCGAAGGCG